UACAACUUGACCAGGGGAGAGACGUACAGAAACCCCAGAAAAGGAAGUGUCCUGUCUGAGGAUGUGCCCUCUGGGUAUGAAGAUGUGGAGGACAGUGAGGGAGACCCUCUCUCAGGGACAGAUGAGAAGAAAGAAUACUAUGACGAUGCUUUUCCUCUGGAGAGGAGUGCUGGACUGAUGGGGACAGAAGACACAGCGGAGGACUAUGAUGAUGCUGUGGGUGUAGAACAGAGUCGACAUUUUUCACCAGGAGAGAAAGCGUUAACCACUCUGCCCCCUGGUGAGGGACCCCCUGAUCCUGACCACACUGACUAUGAUGAUGUGGGAGAUGGAGGAUCGUCUGCAGUUCUGGAAUCUCUCUGUGACUGACAGCCCAGUCUCAGUCUGAAGGUCCUUCUGCCCAAAGCUUCAAACCAACAGGCUCAUUAAGAUCUGAUGCUUCUAAAGUAGCUGGUAACAGUAACUUAAGAUGCUUAAUUUUUAUUUUUCAUCAACAAUUAAAUUUUCAGAAACUAUUGUAA
Scleropages formosus (Asian bonytongue) is the source of this 521-nucleotide long non-coding RNA. RefSeq lists it as uncharacterized. The transcript has 5 exons. Lineage: Eukaryota; Metazoa; Chordata; Actinopteri; Osteoglossiformes; Osteoglossidae. The record is from RefSeq and is a predicted model, not a curated record.